GACGAACCGUGCGAACGUUAUUCGGAAUCACUGGGCUUAAAGCGCGCGUAGGCGGCGUCGUAAGUUGGAGGUGAAAUCCCAUCGGCUCAACCGUGGAAGUGCUUUCAAUACUGCGAUGCUUGAGGGAGGUAGGGGUCCGUGGAACUUCCAGUGGAGCGGUGAAAUGUGUUGAGAUUGGAAGGAACGCCAGUGGCGAAAGCGACGGACUGGAUCUCAUCUGACGCUGAGGCGCGAAAGCUAGGGUAGCGAACGGGAUUAGAUACCCCAGUAGUCC
Molecule: ribosomal RNA, 274 nt
Filed under: uncultured bacterium
Lineage: Bacteria
Description: partial 16S ribosomal RNA
Rfam family: Bacterial small subunit ribosomal RNA
Source: RNAcentral